CCUACGGGUGGCAGCAGUGGGGGAUAGUGCACAAUGGAGGGAACUCUGAUGCAGCGACGCCGCGUGAGGGAAGAAGGUUUUCGGAUUGUAAACCUCUGUCUUCGGUGACGAAACGAGACGGUAGCCGAGGAGGAAGCCACGGCUAACUACGUGCCAGCAGCCGCGAUAAUACGGAGGUGGCAAGCGUUGUCCGGAAUUACUGGGUGUAAAGGGAGCGUAGGCGGGAAAGCAAGUUGAAUGUUUAAGGUACGGGCUCAACCUGUACACGCGUUCAACACUGUUUUUCUUGAGUGGAGUAGAGGUCAGCGGCUUUCCUAGUGUAGCGGUGACAUGCGUACCUAUUAGGAGGAACACCAGUGGCGCAGGCGGCUUACUGGGCUUUACCUGCCGCUGAGGCUCGAUCGCGUGGGUAGCACACCGGAUUCGCUACCCUUGUAGUC
RNAcentral lists this ribosomal RNA (440 nucleotides) under uncultured bacterium. Its description in RNAcentral is "partial 16S ribosomal RNA". It matches the Rfam family "Bacterial small subunit ribosomal RNA", at positions 338 to 795 of the family's 1533-position model. The record is from RNAcentral.